CGCAGCAGGUGCUGGUGGGUCUGGUGGUGCCGGUGGCACCUCGGCGAACUCGGGUGCCACGGGUGCUUCAGGUUCCACCGGCCUGUUGUUGCGA
This 94-nucleotide transfer RNA is filed under the name freshwater metagenome. RNAcentral describes it as "tRNA-Thr". The record is from RNAcentral.